GACAGAGGUGCCGAGCGUUAGGCGGAAUCACUGGGCUUAAAGCGUGUGUAGGCGGAUCUGUAAGUACCUUGUGAAAUCCCACGGCUCAACCGUGGAACUGCUUGGUAUACUGCGGGUCUUGAGCCACCUAGGGGCAAGUGGAACAAACGGUGGAGCGGUGAAAAUGCGUAGAUAUCGUUUGGAACGCCAAUGGUGAAAAACAACUUGCUGGGGGGGUGUGCUGACGCUUCAGAACACGAAAAGCCAGGGGGAGCAAAA
RNAcentral lists this ribosomal RNA (258 nucleotides) under uncultured bacterium. RNAcentral's name for it is "partial 16S ribosomal RNA". It matches the Rfam family "Bacterial small subunit ribosomal RNA", at positions 524 to 773 of the family's 1533-position model. The record is from RNAcentral.